This 484-nucleotide ribosomal RNA is filed under the name uncultured bacterium. RNAcentral describes it as "partial 16S ribosomal RNA". It matches the Rfam family "Bacterial small subunit ribosomal RNA", at positions 30 to 507 of the family's 1533-position model. The record is from RNAcentral.
AUUGAACGCUGGCGGCAGGCCUAACACAUGCAAGUCGAGCGGAUGAAGGGAGCUUGCUCCUGGAUUCAGCGGCGGACGGGUGAGUAAUGCCUAGGAAUCUGCCUGGUAGUGGGGGAUAACGUCCGGAAACGGGCGCUAAUACCGCAUACGUCCUGAGGGAGAAAGUGGGGGAUCUUCGGACCUCACGCUAUCAGAUGAGCCUAGGUCGGAUUAGCUAGUUGGUGGGGUAAAGGCCUACCAAGGCGACGAUCCGUAACUGGUCUGAGAGGAUGAUCAGACACCCUGGAACGGAGGCACGGUCCACACACCUACGGUAGGCAGCAGUGGGGAAUAUUGGACAAUGGGCGAAAGCCUGAUCCAGCCAUGCCGCGUGUGUGAAGAAGGUCUUCGGAUUGUAAAGCACUUUAAGUCGGGAGGAAGGGCAGUAAGUUAAUACCUGGCUGUUUUGACGGUACCAACAGAAUAAGCACCGGCUAACUUCGUG